CCCUUAGAUGUUCUGGGCCGCACGCGUGCUACACUGAGUGGAUCAGCGGGUCAGGUUGCGCGAAAGUGUUUCCUAAUCUUUAAAUCCGCUCGUGAUGGGGAUUGACGGUUGCAAUUUUCCGUCAUGAACGAGGAAUACCUUGUAAGCGCGGGUCAUCAUCCCGCGCUGAAUACGUCCCUGCCCCUUGUACACACCGCCCGUCGCUCCUACCGAUUGAGUGGUCCGGUGAGGCUUUGGGAUCUGAGCGGAAAGAGCGUUUCGCUGUUUCUGCCCGGAAAACUCAGUCGAACCUUAUCAUUUAGAGGAAGGAGAAGUCGUAACA
Molecule: ribosomal RNA, 322 nt
Filed under: uncultured eukaryote
Lineage: Eukaryota
Description: partial 18S ribosomal RNA
Rfam family: Eukaryotic small subunit ribosomal RNA
Source: RNAcentral